Molecule: ribosomal RNA, 472 nt
Filed under: uncultured bacterium
Lineage: Bacteria
Description: partial 16S ribosomal RNA
Rfam family: Bacterial small subunit ribosomal RNA
Source: RNAcentral
GACGAACGCUGGCGGCGUGCUUAACACAUGCAAGUCGAACGAUGAACCCGGAGCUUGCUCUGGGGGAUUAGUGGCGAACGGGUGGGUAACACGUGAGUAACCUGCCCUGGACUCUGGGAUAAGCGUUGGAAACGACGUCUAAUACCGGAUAGGACCUUGGAUCGCAUGAUCUGGGGUGGAAAGUUUUUUCGGUCUGGGAUGGACUCGCGGCCUAUCAGCUUGUUGGUGAGGUAAUGGCUCACCAAGGCGUCGACGGGUAGCCGGCCUGAGAGGGUGACCGGCCACACUGGGACUGAGACACGGCCCAGACUCCUACGGGAGGCAGCAGUGGGGAAUAUUGCACAAUGGGCGAAAGCCUGAUGCAGCAACGCCGCGUGCGGGAUGACGGCCUUCGGGUUGUAAACCGCUUUUAGUAGGGAAGAAGGGCUUCGGCUUGACGGUACCUGCAGAAAAAGGACCGGCUAACUACGUG